Molecule: ribosomal RNA, 468 nt
Filed under: uncultured bacterium
Lineage: Bacteria
Description: partial 16S ribosomal RNA
Rfam family: Bacterial small subunit ribosomal RNA
Source: RNAcentral
GACGAACGCUGGCGGCGUGCUUAACACAUGCAAGUCGAACGGAAAGGCCCUGCUUUUGUGGGGUGCUCGAGUGGCGAACGGGUGAGUAACACGUGAGUAACCUGCCCUUGACUGUGGGAUAACUUCAGGAAACUGGGGCUAAUACCGGAUAGGAGCUCCUGCUCCAUGGUGGGGGAUGGAAAGUUUCGGCGGUUGGGGCAGGACUCGCUGGUUAUCGGCUUGUUGGUCGGGUAGUGGCUUACCAAGGCUUUGACGGGUAGCCGGCCUGAGAGGGUGACCGGGGACAUUGGGACUGAGGUACGGCCCAGAAUGCAACGGGAGGCAGUAGUGGGGAAUAUUGCAGAGUGGGCGGAAGCCUGAUGCAGCAAUGCCGGGUGCGGGAUGACGGCCUACGGGUGGUAAACCGCUUUCGCCUGUGACGAAGCGUGAGUGACGGUAAUGGGUAAAGAAGCACCGGCUAACUACGUG